GACGAACGCUGGCGGCGUGCCUAAUACAUGCAAGUAGAACGCACAGUAUAUACCGUAGCUUGCUACACCAUAGACUGUGAGUUGCGAACGGGUGGGUAACGCGUAGGUAACCUGCCUGGUAGCGGGGGAUAACUAUUGGAAACGAUAGCUAAUACCGCAUAAUAUUAAUUAUUGCAUGAUAAUUGAUUGAAAGAUGCAACUGCAUCACUACCAGAUGGACCUGCGUUGUAUUAGCUAGUAGGUGAGGUAACGGCUCACCUAGGCGACGAUACAUAGCCGACCUGAGAGGGUGAUCGGCCACACUGGGACUGAGACACGGCCCAGACUCCUACGGGAGGCAGCAGUAGGGAAUCUUCGGCAAUGGACGAAAGUCUGACCGAGCAACGCCGCGUGAGUGGAGAAGGUUUUCGGAUCGUAAAGCUCUGUUGUAAGAGAAGAACGGGUGUGAGAAGUGGAAAGUUUCACACUGUGACGGUAUCUACCAAA
RNAcentral lists this ribosomal RNA (486 nucleotides) under Streptococcus gordonii. Its description in RNAcentral is "bacterial SSU rRNA". It matches the Rfam family "Bacterial small subunit ribosomal RNA", at positions 28 to 487 of the family's 1533-position model. Lineage: Bacteria; Bacillati; Bacillota; Bacilli; Lactobacillales; Streptococcaceae. The record is from RNAcentral.